CCGGAGGCCAUUGCUAUCAGGGUUUGACUAAGCCAUGCGAGUCGAGAGGUGUAAGACCUCGGCAUACUGCUCAGUAACACGUGGUUAACCUGCCCUAAGGUGGAGAAUACUCCCGGGAAACUGGGGCUAAUGCUCCAUAGUGGAUAUGUCCUGGAAUGGUAUAUCCUCGAAAGAUCCGUCGCCUUAGGAUGGGACUGCGUCCGAUUAGGUUGUUGGCGGGGUAACGGCCCACCAAGCCUUUUAUCGGUACGGGUUGUGGGAGCAAGAUCCCGGAGAUGGAUUCUGAGACAUGAAUCCAGGCCCUACGGGGCGCAGCAGGCGCGCAAACUUUACAAUGCGAGCAAUCGUGAUAAGGAAACCCUGAGUGCCUGUCGAUGCAGGCUGUUCAUAUAUCUAAAUCAUAUGUGAAGAAAGGGCAGGGCAAGACCGGUGCCAGCCGCCGCGGUAAUACCGGCUGCUCGAGUGAUGGCCACUAUUACUGGGUUUAAAGCGUCCGUAGCUUGACUGUUAGGUCUCUUGGGAAAUCUUCGCGCUCAACGUGAAGGCGUCUAAGAGAUACCGGCAGUCUUGGAACUGGGAGAGGUAAACCGUACUUCGGGGGUAGGAGU
Molecule: ribosomal RNA, 608 nt
Filed under: uncultured Methanocorpusculum sp.
Lineage: Archaea; Methanobacteriati; Methanobacteriota; Methanomicrobia; Methanomicrobiales; Methanocorpusculaceae
Description: bacterial SSU rRNA
Rfam family: Archaeal small subunit ribosomal RNA
Source: RNAcentral